RNAcentral lists this long non-coding RNA (40099 nucleotides) under Manihot esculenta (cassava). RNAcentral's name for it is "long non-coding RNA (MESC_LNC005137)". The record is from RNAcentral. Lineage: Eukaryota; Viridiplantae; Streptophyta; Magnoliopsida; Malpighiales; Euphorbiaceae.
UAACCUUCUCAAUUAUGAUUAAUGGCUUGUGUAGUCAGGGGAAUCUGGAUGAAGCACUCACCCUAUUGAAAGAAAUGGAGGAAAGUCGGUUGAAGCCUGAUCUUGUGACCUAUUGCAUUCUGAUCAAUGGUAUGUGCAAAGUUGGGAAGAUUAAUGAUGCCAAGGAACUUUUUUCUAGUCUUUUUGAAAUUGGUUUACAACCUGAUGUUUAUGUAUAUAAUGCAAUUAUGAAAGGACUCUGCCAACAAGGACUAAUGGACGAAGCGUAUAAGGUAUUUAGAGACAUGGAAAAGGGAGGAUGUUUACCGAAUAAUUGUUGUUAUAAUAUCAUCAUUCAAGGGUUUCUCAAGCAUGAGGAUUUACCAAAAGCAUCAGAACUAAUCAACGAAAUGGUUGAUAAGGGGUUCUCUGCUGAUGAUGCUAACACAGCAUUGGUAGUACAUUUAUCGCGGAAUAAUGAUCUCAUUCUGAGGCUUUUAAAGGUGCGCAAUGAGGGAUCAGCAAACUAAAGUUGUUAUAUCUUGACCAUUCAAGUUGUCUUGGAGCGCAACUUGGUAAUUACCUUUUUCAAAUAUAAUAGAUAUGUAAUUUAACUAACUUCUUCAAAUAUCAUUUUUAAUUUCAAUCAGCUGUGAUUCUCUUCCACAAAAUAAAAAUUUCUAACACGGCAAAUGACCUGUGGUGGAAACCAUGACAUGUGUGUGCCUUUCGCUUGAAUUCAGACAUGGACUUGAUCUCUUUGAGAUAAGAUUGUUGAUGAAUGGAGGUCAUGGAUUUCUAAUGAUCAAGUUGCUGGUAAACCCACCAUCUCCUUACAAUUUUUUAUUGGCUGCUACUACAGCCUCAACUGGAGAGCUCAGUCCUAAAAUUGAGUUGAGAACUAAAACUAAUUGGUUCCAUACUACAAUGCUUAAGAAUCUUUAUCUAUUUUUAUUUUUGUGCUCAAUGACCUUUUAAAAUGCUAUCAUUUCUCUUGUAGGUACUUGCAAGGAUAUGAUUACAACUUCACCUUUCUAACAAUAAAAAAGGUCUAAGCAAUUCUUUUUUGCUUAAUUAUUAUUCUAUUUUUAAUAAUUUUGAAAAUAAUGAUUAUAAAUCAGUGUGCUUUAAUUGAGAAUUGAUUUAACAAUUAGACUACACUAUAAAUGCAGGGUGCAGGAUAUACGGUCCCAGAGUACAAGGUAAGAGAAUCACUACACAUCUACAGCUGUUGGUUGGAUGAAAUGUCACUAAAAUUAUACACAACCGAAAAUGUUAUGGGAAUUGGGGAAAGGCAAACAUCCUCUUUGUNNNNNNNNNNNNNNNNNNNNNNNNNNNNNNNNNNNNNNNNNNNNNNNNNNNNNNNNNNNNNNNNNNNNNNNNNNNNNNNNNNNNNNNNNNNNNNNNNNNNNNNNNNNNNNNNNNNNNNNNNNNNNNNNNNNNNNNNNNNNNNNNNNNNNNNNNNNNNAUAUAUAUAUAUAUAUAUAUAUAGAUCCUUAAUUUCUUUUAUUUUCCUUCAAGUCAAAUUAGUGAAAUCAUUGCAUUAGCAUCUAAUAAUAUGAAGUUCACAAUCUUUUCCAAUGAAAUCAAUUUUUUAACAUGAAAAUUUGAAUUUUAGAAAUGUUUGUGGAAGGUAUAUAUAUUCUUCCCUUCGAGAUUCUUUAUUUUGUGCCAAGUUGAUUGGAUGUACUGUUUGAAAUGUUAGUUAAGUUAGGCAAGAAAAGUUGUUUUGGUUGUUUCUUUUCUCCUUUCAGCAGUAUAUAAUGAGACAUCUUAUGUUUUUACCACUUUCUAAUAUACUACUCAAUAAAAUUUUCUUUGGGCUCUUGUUUGUACAUGGUAUUUUUCUUUUUGCUUGAUGAUUCUUGAAGUUUUUGUGACUGCAUCCAUGGGAAUUGGUUUGUUAGGGAAGGUGGGGCUGACAGGGUACAUAUUGAGAGGUAGGAAACCAAUUGCAAAAUGAUUCAGAUCCUUUUACUCUUCAAAACUCAGAUAAUCCAAGUAGAAUUCUCAUAUCUGCACCGUUAAAUUAAGUAUAAAGAAUAUAUAGUUAAAAAGAUAAAUCUAUUUAUAUCCAUUUAAUUUUAAUUUUUUUUUAUCCGUUUGUAAAUUUAUUUUUUUUAUAGUGCUAGAGGUUUAAUAAGUUGGAGAGAGCAGGGCUCACAGCAGCCUCACUCUCUUGUAACCAUUCAAAGACUCGAGUCAUAUCAGUGGCGUUAAUAGCAUCUCUUGAUAUGUCACCUCUCUAGAAAAUUUGAACCCAUCCUAAAAAAAAAAGCAAGCAAACCACCGCACUUUCAGUGGCCGGAAGAGUGAUAUCACAUCUAUGAAUUGACUUAAACCAAGACUGGUCUUUAAAAUACUCUCACCAUGAAGCUCUAAAUUUACAACUGCAAAAGUAAAAAUAGAAAAACACAAUAUUUUCACCCCAGCCAUAGAGACAAGGAGAGUAAACCCAUAUCCAAGACUCGAGGAAGCCAUCCCUUAAAAGGAACAGGGAACGGUUGCAGGACUAACCAUUAGUAGAGAAACAAGGUUUGCCCUCAGAAGUAAACAGGCAGAGAUAAAGCACUCUCUCUUUAACUUUCACGGCUCUUAUUCAAAAAUUUGAUUUCAAAUUAUAAAAAUAUGCUUUUAUAUUAUAGCAAUUCUUAUCUAAACCAGCUUAACAUUAACUUAAAAUAUAAAUAUAUAAGAUUUUUCUUACAUUAGGUUUACAUAACUAUUUUUUUAUAUAUUAAAUAUACCCUUAAUUAAAAUGAUUUUUUUUCUAUUACAUGAAAAUAUAUUUGCACCUAUUUUCAAAUAAAACUUUAAUAUAAUUAAAAUAAACUAUGUUUGCCUUUGGUUAACAUACCAUUCACUCAUAUUACUCCUUAAAUAUUAAAGAACUCAUACUAUUAGAAGAUUUUUAAAAUCAGUAAAUUUUACUUUUUUUCAAUAGAUAUUAAAUAGAAUAUAUUAAUAAACUAAUAAAUAAAUCAUCAUAUACAAGUUCAUAUAAUUUAACAUUACACUGCUGAUUGCAACUACUUAGCUCCAUAACGCCAUUCUCUAAAACCCCAACUCUCACACCCAACCCUCUGCAAUAAACACAGAAACAAAACCUCAUCUCUCUCUCUCUCUCUCCCCUCAAAAGAAAAUCAAUAUAUAAUAUGUAAGUGAUCAAGUGAUUGAUUAUGGACAUCAUAGAUCUAACAGAAAAUUAUACCUUGCAAUUCACCCCCACAAAAAUAUUUUCCCGGCAAAGAACGAUCAUUCGAGCCGCUGUGUAUUCGAGCUCUCCAAUGACCACAGCUUGAAGUUACUUCAUUGUCUUGUUAGUGAAUGAUCAAGUAAUUCUUGAGAAGCAUUACCUCUUCUGGUUGGUAUUAAUUUUGUUGAGAAGCAAGCCAGGCAUCUCAUCAAUAAUGGCGAUUUACGCUUAUAGGAACGCGCUGAGCAGCUUCGCUACUGUUUCCGAACCAUUCACUGUUAUAAGAAGACCAAAGAGAAAGUCCACUUUUGUAUGAUAAGCUGUCAAUGAGAAAAUGAUCCUGAAUUCCUAUUCGUUGCCUCGGUGUGCUCAUCGACCUCGCCUUUGCCUUUGCAGAUUCUGUUGCAGCCAUGUAAGUUGGGAAAACAGGAGAAUUCAGUGCAGAACUGUCAUCUCCUGUAGUAUUCCGUUGUGUCCGACAAAAUGAUCUUCUUGGAAAUGACACUGGUGAACUCAAUGCUUCUAUGUUAUCUCGUUUCCGUGAACUCAUUUUCACUUGUGUUGUACCAAAUAUGUCACUUGCUUUCAGAUUCUCUAUCCGUUCUCUAGCCAAUUCUUCCAGCCAGUGUCUCUGUCUAUCAGGUUCAUUCUUGGCUAUUGAUUCUUCCAGUACAUAGAUAAGAAAGUAAAAAAGAGAUGUUUUUUUAAGAAUAUAAUCUUCGUUAUAUUAAUCUUCACAGUACACACAUGAUUUAAAUAAGAGAAUUGAUAACUAAAGUUGCCUAUUGAAUAGGAGAGAAUAAUGGAAAAAUAUCAUCAGUAAGUGAAUGAAUCACCCUAAGAAUCCUAAUCACAAGACUCAUUCAAUUGUAUAAUAUUUACAAAAUUAACACUUAUCACUCCAAUACUCAAGCCUUAGCACAGCAGCCUUAUUACUCCUGAGAGGUGGAACCAUUCUUAUGACUCCCUGAACUAGUAUCCCCCCUCAAAUUGUGUCCAGAAUGGAGACAGAGUUUGCGUCGAAAUUGUGCUAGACGAGUUUUUGUCAUUGACUUUGUAAAUAUAUCAGCAACUUGAUAUGCUGAGGGAAUGUAUCUCGUGAUCAGAACUCCUUGAGCAACGCGUUCUCUGACAUAGUCUAUAAAUCUUGAUUUUGGAUCAGUUACCAACACUCAAUAAAGUCUAUAAAUCUAUAUGCAGCCACUGAGUGUGUUGAUGGACAAGCAACUGCAAUUGGUCCUACUAGGGAUUGGAAUGCUAAUUUAGCUUCAGGUAUUUAACAGGACUUUUUGUCCAAAUGUAUUUAUGAACAAGUUCAUAAAAGGCAGGUUAGCUCUAUAUAUAACACAAGUAUAAUCUUGCAAUAUACUUGAUAAAAUUUUCUUUGAGCUGUUAUUUACACACCACCUGCAGUAGGUAUCCAGUCUUAAAUUAGUUAGAUAUUCAAUAAAAGGACUUUUUAUAUGAUUCCAAUAAUUCUCUACAUAAUAUGUUCCUUAAAACAAAAUUUGAUUCAAUUUAUUUUAACACCAUAAUUCUUUAUAAAAAAAAUAGCUACAAAAUUUCUUACAGUUAGUAAUUUAAUGGUCAUGGUCAGUAAACGGUCAGUAACUUAUUUUACAAAUCACUUUUUCCAUAAUUUGAUCAGUUAACAUGAUUUCUUCUGGUGCGUUAUUAUUUAUAAAUACUAAUAAUUACAUUGUAAAAUUUAUAAUUUAUUUUUAUUAAUAUAAUUUAUUUAAUUAAUUUAUAAUAUAAUAUUUUAAUUUACAUUUAAAAUUCACAUGUUCACGUCUAUUUUAAUGGAUUAAAAAAUUAUACAAAUAUAUAUUAUUUAAAAUAUUUCAAUUUAAUUUGUUCGAUUAAUUUACUAUUUUAAUUUAAUUUAUGUUCUAUUAACAAAUAUAAUAUUAAACUUUUAAUAGAUUAAAUAUUUUAUUAAAACUAUUAUAUGUUUUAAUAAUUUACUUAUAUUAAGGUUAGUAAUUAGAUAUAUUUGUCUAUACUAUAAAAUCUCAAUAUCAUACAAUACAUUAUUAAUAAAUAUACUACAUAAUUAGUUCAGGCGAGAAAGUGGGCAACAUGCUACAAACUAUAAUUCUUGCUAAGAAUUAGAAUUAAAUUAAAUUUGUAAUACUUUAAUAUAAAGAAAAACUAUAGUUCUUACUAAGAAUUAGAACCAAAUCAAAUUUUUAAUACUUUAAUGCAUUUCAAACUAAAUUUCGGUAUAGUUCUAAUACGAUUCUAAGUAAUUUUAGUACUAUCUCAAUUUGAUUUUAAUUUUUUUAUUUUAAUUUUAUUUCAAUUUAAAUUUUAAUUUUUACAAAUAAAAUCAUAAUAGCUUUUACGCAUAUUUUNNNNNUACAACUCUUGAUAAGAAUAUUUUAUUAUUUUAUGUAGUUAUUAAUUAUAUAAUUUUAAUUAAAAAAUGUAUGAAAUUAAUAUAUAAAUAUAUAUUAUAUUACUAAUAAUACAUUUAUAAUUGAUAUAAAAAAAGGAUGUAUAUAUCAUUCGAGUAUAAUAAUUUUUUAAAAAAUAUAUAUAUGUUAAUGAUAAUUUUAUUAAAUAACAGAUAUUAGCAAAUAUAAUAAAAAUUUGAAUAUUUCAAUUACAGUAAAAAAAUCAACUAAAAUGAUACAUUUUCUUAAUUUUAUUUUAUUAUAAUUUUUUUAUAACUUUGAUUAAAUAUAUUCAUAUAAUAAUGUGAUAUUAAGAUAAUAGGAGCCCAAAUUUAAUAGUCUAUUUGCAAUAAUAAUAAUAAUAUAUAAAAAAAUUAAUAAAGAGAUGAAAAAAUAACGGUAAAAUAUUGUUUAGUUUAUGAAAGUGUUAAAUUUGGUUGUGGAUAAAUAGAGUGGUUUAUUGAAGAUUUUGAAAUCAAAUGGACAUUCAAAGCCGCAAUAUAAAGAUUUAUUUGGCUUUAAAGAGAGAUAAAUCAACGUCAAUCAGACUGUGUAUCUUACUAGAGGUUCUUGUAUCCCACUUCUGAUUAGAUUGAUAAGAGAAUAAGAGACAGCUGAGGUUCAAGAGGUGAUUUGUUCAGAUCACAUGGGCAACUCAUACAAAAUUAAAUAUAAAAGGAAGUUUUUUCUUAGAAAUCUGAUAUAUUUUUCUAUGCUACAAAAUCUCAGUACAAGCGAGAUAGUGGGCAACAUGCUAAAAUAAAAAGCUAUAGUUCUGAUACUUUUAUCAUCAGAUUUUACUACAAUAUAUUUUAAUCUAUUAGUAAUUUUAACAGAUUUAUUAAAAAUUUUGAAAAUCCUUCAAUAAUUCUUAAUAUAAAACAUUAUAUAAAAAUUCACCAAUAGAUUUGAAAUCUGUUGGUAAUCUACUAGUAUUACUAACAAAUUUAAAAAUUUAUUGGAAAUUUAUAAAUUUAUAAAAUAAUUGGUAUUGAUAUUUAUCAACAGACUUAAAAUUUAUUAGUAAAUCAUUAACAAUUUUAAUCUGUUAGUAAAUUUAGGGGUGGAAAUGAAACAAACCGUUUGUGACCGUUUGUGAGCUAUUCGAGAUUCGACUCGAUAAAAACUUGACCGAACUCGACUCGAUUUCUAAACGAUUCAAACUCGAACUUAAUUUUUAGGCUUGUUUAGUAAACAAGGCAAACUUAAACCAUAUAGUGUCUUGUUAAGACUCGUGAGCUCGACUUGCGUUCGAAUUUAUGAGCAGACUGGUGAAUAGUCUCGUUAAGCAGACUGAAAUUAAUAUCAUAAGAGAAAUAAAUUUAACUCCUGCAUAUAUUUUCAUGAGGCAAAUCUAAAUUUUAUAAAAUUCAAUUCUAUAUUAUUUAAUUAUACUAUUAAAACUUGCAUAUUUGGAUUAUUAAGAGCUCAUUUUUAUAAGUUUAUAAGCUAAUUUUUAUAUGUGAAAGUCAGCUGCUUGCUUGAUGUGGGACGUCCCACAUCGGCGAAGUACAAAAAAUCAAAAUUGUAUAUAAUAAUUAGUAUGAAACUACUAAAUAACUUGAGUUAACCAUUUUGAGUUAGGUGGAAACUGAAUUCCAAGUUAUUUGGGUCAAAACUACCCCUGAGUCAGAGCUAGUGGCCCUGUCACAAUACCGAAGUUGAGCUUAUUAAUACUUAACUCGUCUAAAUUCAGUUCGAGUUCGAAAUGAGUAAAACUCGAGUUUGGCUUGAACUUAAAAAAAUUUUAACGAACUAAAUUUGAACUCUUCAAAUCUCAGCUCUACUCGUCGUUUACACCCUAAGUAAAAUUUUAAAAGUGUUUAAACUACUAACGGAUUUAAAAAUCCGUUACUAAAUAUUAUCAUCAAAUUAAUAAGUAUUAAAUUUAUUAACGGAUGCUAUCCACUAAUAAAUCUUUUAAUAAAUUUAAAAUAAAAUCCUACAAAAAAUUUCUGCAUUCUUUUUUUAUAACUCAUAUUUUUCAAAUUUUAAAUCCAUUGGUAAUUUUUUGAGAGAAAAAAAAAAAUUUUUUUUCAAAAUUUAGUAACGAGUCGUAAAUUUAUUAGUAAUUCACGUUUAUAAAUAUAACACAAACUCCUCUACUUUUAUCAUUCAUUCAUUUUAUAUCAUCCACCUUUCUUUCAUUUUUUUCACUUUCUCUCAUUUUCUUUUUUUCUAUUACAUUCUUUCAUUUUAUUUUUUUAUCUCAUAAUUUUUUUUUAUUUUUCUAUUAUUUUUCUUUCCUCUCUUAUCCUAUUUUCUCAUGGUUCUCUUUUAUCUUCUAUUAUUUUUUUCAUUCUUCAUAAUUUUCCUUUCAUUUUCUCCCUUUUCUUUUCCAUAUUUUUUUUUUCCUUUCCUCUCUAUACUUUUCAUUCAUAUUAGUUUUUUUAAUAUUAUUUUCUUCUAUUAUUUUCUUUCUAUUUACAUUUUUUCUAUUAUUUUCUCUUUAUUUAUUUUCUUCUCUAAGCAUUUGUUCACUUUUUUUCAUUUUUCUAAUCAUCUUUUUACUCAACUCUCAUUCAUUCUUUUUUUUCAUAAUUUUUAUUUUUCUAUUAUUUUCUUUAUUUUUCUCUUUUUUCUUUAUUUUUUAUUAUUUUCUCUCAUUUUAUACCAUUUAUUUUUUUAUUUUCACUUUUUUAGAUAUAAAUUAAAAACUUGGUAACAAUAAUAAUAUAAUUUUAAGUCUUAUUAAAUUAAUAAAAAAUUAUUUAAACUCUCAAUAGAUAUAUUAAUGAAUUGCAAUUCAUUGAUAAUUGACUAACAGAUUUCACAUCUGUUAAUAAAUUAUUUUUCUCUUAUACUAACGAAUUUAAAAUUUAUUAAUAAUUUAAAAUCUAUUAGUAAUAAUAGCGGGAAUUCCAUUAGUAAAUCCACUAGUUUACUGACGAAAUUAAAAACUGUUGGUAAAAAUUUAAUACCGACAUUUUAAUAACGGAUCGUAAUCUAUUAGAAAUCCCUUAUUAAUUAAUUUACCAACGAAUUUUUAUUAGAUUGCUAAUGGAAAAAUCAAUGCAUUAUUAAUAUAAAUUAAGAAGUUGAUUCUUAUCUUUACAAUAAGAUAUCUUUUAAACUCUUAAAAAUUUUGAAGCUAAAAUUGAAGAAACAUUCAUGACGUUAUAUUUUUCAUUUCAUGCAAGAUGAUAUCUGUUAUUGGAAUGCAUAUGAUUAUUUUAUUGAUAUAAAAUAAGUAUAAAGAAUAUACAAUUAAAAAGAUAAUUAUACUUAUCGAUCCGUUCGUAUCAUUUAAUUUUACUGUCUCUUUAUAAAUCUAUUUAUAUCCAUUUAAUUUUAAUCUCAUAUAGGUAAAUUAUAAGAGAUGAAGAGUUCUCCUUCCUUCCCUAUAAAAAGAGAAGGCCUCUCUUCCCUUCAAUAUUAGUACCUGAUUUUUUAUAAUUUAUAAUAUAAUAUACUAUAUAUUAAAUGUAUAGAAAUAAUUUAAUUAUUAUAAAUUUAAGUUAAUAUUAUUAAUAAUAAAAUAAAAUAAUAAAUAAAAUUUAAAAUGCAAAAUAUAUUUAGUGAGUUUAACAUUUCAAAAUUUUAUUAUUUUGAAAUAAUUUUAUAUNNNNNNNNNNNNNNNNNNNNNNNNNNNNNNNNNNNNNNNNNNNNNNNNNNNNNNNNNNNNNNNNNNNNNNNNNNNNNNNNNNNNNNNNNNNNNNNNNNNNNNNNNNNNNNNNNNNNNNNNNNNNNNNNNNNNNNNNNNNNNNNNNNNNNNNNNNNNNNNNNNNNNNNNNNNNNNNNNNNNNNNNNUUUUUUCCUCAUCUAUAUUAUAUACAAUUAGACUAUAAUAAUAUUUUUAAAAAUAUACAUUGAUAAUUAUUUAUUCAAUAAGGAAUAUUAUUUAAUAAAAUAAAAAAUCAAUAUUCUACAAUUAUAUUUAUAAUAUUUUAUUUAAAAAUAUAAAGUUAACAAAAUUAAUUAAUUUUCAAAUAAAUUUAAUUAAAUAUAAGGUACGGUUAUAAUAAAAUAUUAUUUUUAUGAAAAUCAAUUUAAUUAAUUCUCUAUAUUUUUAUUAAGAAUCAAAUAAAUUUAAUUUAAAAUUUUUAAAACUUUAAGCUAAUUAAACUAUAUAAUUUUAUUAAAGGCUAAAUAGAUUCUAACUUAAAAUGAUUUUUUAAUAAUAAAAUAUUAUUUUUAUAAUUUAAAAUAUUAAAAUUUAAUAUUUUAAUUAUCAUAAAAUUUUUAAAAAUAUAUAAAUAUAAUAAAUAAUUUUUAAAAUUAUAAAAAAAAAAGUUUUAUCAUAUAAAAAUUUUUAUUAUUAAAAAAUAAUAUUAUGUUAGAUUAUGAUUUAUUUGACUUUUGAGUAAUAAUAUAGAGAUUUAAUUUAUUUAAAAUUUUGAAUUAAAAUUAUUUAACUCUUCAAUAAAAGUAGAGACUUAAUUGCAUUUAUAUUUAUAAAAUUAUUAUUAUAAAAUGAUAAAUUUAAUUUGUUAUUAAAUAAUAUUUUUAUAUGAAAAAUUAAUUAAAAAAAUUACAAAAUGUGGCGCAUAUAAACAAUUCCCAAUUUCCUUUUGUUAUCCUUACCACAUUACCAGCAGGCAGAGAGCCUUCCUUUUCCGAUUCUCUAUUUCCGUUUCUCAUUCCCAAUCUCCGAUCCAUCCCUAAAAACGACUGACAAGAGAUCGAUGAUGAUGAAGAUGCCUUGGAGGAGGAAGAGCAGGAGCUUCCAUCUUCAGCUACAAGGGGCAAUUGGUACCAUUCAAUCUCCAUUCCUAUUCUUAUUUACCAAUUAUUGUCAUUCUUCUACUUCCACACUUGAAGAUGCACGCUUCUUGACAAAUAACUUCAAAUCUGCUUCUUUUACCCACCUUGAUGAUGCCAUUGCUUCCUUCAAUCAUGUAAUUCAUAAGCAUCCUCUGCCUUCUAGGGUUCCAUUUAAUAGAUUCUUAUCUGCCCUUGUGAAAAUGAAACAAUAUCACACUGUCCUUUCCAUGUCCAAAACAAUUGAAUUGCUAGGAAUCUCUCACGAUGUUUAUUCUCUUAGCAUAUUAAUUAAUUGCUUCUGCCAUUUACACAUUGUGGAUUUUGGCUUCUCUGUUUUUGGUAAGAUGCUCAAAUUCGGAUUGGAGCCUACCACUGUGACGUUUACUACCUUAAUUAAUGGGCUUUGUAUGGAGAGUAAAAUCCAUAAAGCAGUGGAAUUUUUCGAUGAUAUGGUUGCACGUGGUUAUCAACCUAAUGUUCGUACUUUCAAUGUGAUAGUAAACGGAUUGUGUAAAUUUGGGAAAACAAACGUGGCUAUUGGGCUACUAAAGGGAAUGGCUGAUAGAGGUUGUGAGCCAAAUGUUGUGACAUACAAUGCAAUCAUUGACGCACUUUGCAAGGAUGAGCUAGUUGGUGAAGCUUUAGAGCUCUUCUCUCAAAUGAGGAAUAAGGGCAUUUCACCUGAUGUCAUCACUUACACUAGUUUAAUUCAUAGUGUUUGCAAAUUAGGCCAAAAGAACCAAGCUUUGGCCUUGAUGAAUGAAAUGGUUGAGUGGAACAUAUUACCAAAUGUUUAUACCUUCAAUGUAUUGAUUGAUGCUCUUUGUAAGGAUGGAAUGGUUUCAGAGUCUCAAAAUACAUUCAAUGUAAUGAUUCAAAGAGGUGUAGAGCCUGAUGUGGUCACAUACAAUUCCUUAAUUGAUGGUCUUUGCAUUUCAGACCAAUUCAAGGAAGCUUUGGCCUUGUUGAAACAAAUGGUGGGGAGGAAUAUAUCCCCUGAUGUUUUUACCUUCAAUAUAUUGAUCGACACUCUUUGUAAGAAAGGACUGGUUUCAAAUGCACAGAAUAUAAUCAAAAUAAUGAUUCAAAGAGGUGUGGAACCUGAUGUUGUCACUUAUAAUUCAUUGAUGGAUGGAUAUUGUCUAUGCAAGCAAAUUGAUAAGGCUAGAAAGGUAUUUGAUCUGAUGGUGACCAAUGAAAUAGCUGACAUUUUAGGCUACAGCAUUUUGAUCAAUGGAUAUUGUAAGUGCAAAAUGAUAGAUGAUGCAGAGGAACUUUUUGAUGAAAUGUCUCAUAAAGGUUUAGUUCCUAAUGUUGUUACUUAUCAUACUCUUAUAAAGGGUAUGUUUCAAGCAGGGAGGCCCCAAAAUGCAAAAGAGCUUUUUAAGGAUAUGUGCUCUCAUGGUCAACAGCCAGAUAUAGUAACCUUCUCAAUUAUGAUUGAUGGCUUGUGUAGACAGGGGAAUCUCGAUGAGGCACUCGCACUAUUGAAAGCAAUGGAGAAAAGUCGGUUGAAGCCUAAUGUUGUGAUCUAUAGCAGUCUGAUCAAUGGUAUGUGCAAAGUUGGGAAGAUUAAUGAUGCCAAGGAACUAUUUUCUAGUCUUUUUGAAAUUGGUUUACAACCUGAUGUUUAUGUAUAUAGCGCAAUUAUGAAAGGACUCUGCCAACAGGGAUUAAUGGAUGAAGCGUAUAAGGUAUUUAAAGACAUGGAAAAGGUAGGAUGUUUACCAAAUAAUUGUUGUUAUAAUAUCAUCAUUCAAGGGUUUCUCAAGCAUGAGGAUUUACCAAAAGCAUCAGAACUAAUCAACGAAAUGGUUGAUAAGGGGUUCUCUGCUGAUGCUGCUACCACAGAAUUGGUAGUACAUUUAUUGCGGAAUAAUGAUCUCAUUCUGAGGCUUUUAAAGGCGCGCAACUAGGGAUUAGCAAACUAAAGUUGUUAUAUCUUGACCAUUCAAGUGUAUCUUGGAGCGCAACUUGGUAAUUACCUUUUUCAAAUAUAAUAGAUAUGUAAUUUAACUGACUUCCUCAAAUAUCAUUUUUAAUUUCAAUCAGCUGUGAUUCUCUUUCACAAAAUGAAAAUUUCUAACACCGCAAAUGACCUGUGGUGGAAACCAUGAUAUGUGUGUGCCUUUCGCUUGAAUUCAGAUAUGGACUUGAUCUCUUUGAUAUAAGAUUGUUGGAGAAUGGAGGUCAUGGAUUACUAAUGAUCAAGUUGCUGGUAAACCCACCAUCUCCUUUACAAUUUUAUUUUUGGUUGCUACUACAGCCUUAACUCGAGAGCUCAGUCCUAAAAUUGAGUUGAGAACUAAAACUAAUUGGUUUCAUACUACAAUGCUUAACAAUCUUUAUCUAUUAUUAUUUUUGUGCUCAAUGACCUUUUAAAAUGCUAUCAUUUCUCUUGUAGGUACUUGCAAGGAUAUGAUUAGAACUUCACCUUUUUAACAAUAAAGGUGUAAGCAAUUCUUUUUGCUGAAUUAUUAUAUUUUUAAUAAUAAUGAAAAUAAUGAUUAUAAACCAGUGUGCUUUAAUUGAGAAUUGAUUUAACAAUUAGACUACCCUAUAAAUGCAGGGUGCAAGAUACAGUACCAGAGUACAAGGUAAGAGAAUCACUAGACUUCUACGGCUGUUGGUUGGAAUAAAUGUCACUAAAAGUAUAGACAACAGAAAAUGUUAUGGGAAUUGAGGGAAAAGCAAAAAAAGACUAUGAAAAUCAGACAUAUGCAGCCACUGAGACAAGCAACUGCAAUUGGUCCUACUAGAGAUUGAAAUGCUAGUUUAGCUUCAGCUAUUUAACAGGACUUUUUGUCCAAAUUUAUUUAUGAACAAGUUCAUAAAAGGCAGGAUAGCUCUAUAUAUAACUCAGCUAUAAUCAAAGAAGGUGGCAGGAAAAAUGUCAAUACAAUGAAACUUCAUCUGAUUAAAUGGAAUACUCUUUGGUUGCCUAAAAAGAAUGGAGGCUUAGGCAUGAAAGAGAUCUGUCUUCAAAUUCAAGCUCUUUUGUUCAAAUGGCUUUGGAGAUUUGGAAAUCAUAGGGAUUCACUCUGAGUUCAACUUCUUCUAUCCAAAUAUUCUUUCAAUUUGGAGAAGGGUAUCUCUCUUGCUCCAGGAAAUUGCAUUUCUUCCCUUCAGAAAGACAUUCGAGGGUAUGCUACUUUCGAUGAACUCUUUCUCCUCUCCUUGAAUUCAUAUCAGAUUUGCUGUGGGGAAUGAGAUGAAAAUGAAAUUUUGGAAUGAGAGACGAUCGGUUGGUAAUAUUGCUCUCAAAUUCUCCUUUAGCAGACUAUUAAAUUUAGCUGCUAACCUAGAUGUGUUGAUGUUAAAUACGGGCUGUUGGGUGAAGAGCAAAUGGGAAUGGGAAAUAAUUGAAUUGUCAAUAUUAUACUUAAUCUUUUAUAUUAUUUCUAAUAAUAUAUUUUAUUAUUUAAAUAAAUUUAUUUUAGAGUUUUUAUGAAUUUAAAAUUUUAAGUUCCAUAAAUAAAUGUGGCAAUAUUUAUGUAAGAUUGUAAAUUCAAUAUUUUUUAAAAAGGUAGUUUUAGAAAAAAUAAAAUCGAUUUUGUAAACAACUUUUAAAAAAUGGAAAACCCAAUUACUUUAAAAAUAUCCAUUUCCAUAUAAAUUUAAUUAAAAAAUAAAUAUUUGCUUCUUUUUUUUUUAACUUUCAUUCCCCAUUAUUAUUUAUAAAUACUAAUAAUUACAUUGUAAAAUUUAUAAUUUAUUUUUAUUAAUAUAAUUUAUUUAAUUAAUUUAUGAUAUAAUAUUUUAAUUUGCAUAUAAAAUCCACAUGUUCACUACUAUUUUAAUGGAUUAAAAAACUAUAUAAAUAUACAUUAUUUAAAAUAUUUGAAUUUGAUUUGUUCAAUUAAUUUACUAUUUUAAUUUAAUUUAUGUUCUAUUAACAAAUAUAAUAUUAAAAUUUUCAUAGAUUGAGUAUUUUAUUAAAACUAUUAUAUAUUUUAAUAAUUUACUUAUAUUAAGACUAUUAUUAAUUAUUAAAAUUCUAAUACUAUUAAAAUAAAAAAUUUUAUUUUUUUUAAUAAGAGUACAGUUUUGUGAAUAAUAUUUUUUAUAUAUUAAAAUAAAAUUAUAAAUAAAAUAAUUAAAAAUAAAUAUUAUACAUGUUAAAAAAUUAAUAAUUAUUAAAAUUUGAAUAAUUAAUAUUAUUAAAAUACAAAUGGAAUUUAUAAAUAAUUAAUUUAGUGUGAAUAUUUCAUAUAAUUUGUGAUAAUCUAUCCCAUUUCAAACUCCUAACAAAAAAAUCUACUGACCUAUAAACUAAAUCUGCCAUCUUAAGAAACUUAAAACCAUAAAACCAAGAAAUUUUAUUUAUUCUCAGAAUUAUAAACUUAACCAUCACUUAAUUACCAUAUUUACCGAUUAACAUUAAUAAAUUAAAAUGAAAAUAAUUACAUAAUUAAUAAAAAUUCUUCUUCACUGCUUUAAUUUGCAAUUUUUUUUAAAACCAAUUAAUAAACUAAUCCAGCUAAAAAAUUUUAUUUAAUGCUAAAAAUCUAAAUUUUAUCAGAAAAAUCUAAUCUUUAUCCAUAUAUAUAAAUUGAAUCCCAAUUACUCUUCUCUCCUAUAAAAUUUCCUUUUGAGUUUUCUCACUCUCAAACAUUUUCUUAACUUAGAAAAUUUUAAUCAAUAAUGCCAUCGUGGAGAGCUUCUAACAUGAAAAUGGAUUCUCGCUCGAAAAUUUUAGGUCAACGACAUGUAACCAAGUCAUCUUUUUCCUACAAGUUACUUUCUAGUUCGACUGAUCAAAAAACUAAAAUACCGCAAAUUCAAAAGGGUUAUGUAGCAAUAUACGUGGGUGACGAGAGAAAGAGAUAUCAAGUUCUAAUAGAGAAUCUAGAGUUUUCGACAUUACAAGAACUUAUUAAACAGUCUCACGAUAGUGAUUUCGACUCCAAGAUUGAUGGACCAAUCGUGCUUACUUGCACUACUGAUAGGUUUGAUGAACUCCUGAAAUUUAUAAAUGGUUGACAUAUAAAACUUUAGAGAGUUUUAAAUAAUUAUUUUUUAUAUGUUUAAAUUACUAAUAAAUCCUUAUAUUUUAUCAAAAUUAGCUAUUUAAUCCCUAUUUUCAAAUCAUUAAAUUAAAACAUUUUGAAUUUUAUAAAGUCAAACUCUUUGAUAUUCUUAACGAAUAAAAUAUUAGUAAAUAUAUUUUUAAUUUUAAUUAGAAAAAUUAAAUUAUAUAUAUAAUUAAAAAAUAAAUAAAUAAUAUAAAAAUUUAUUUUAAUCGAAUAACAUAAAAAUAAAAAAUUAAAUAGUCAAUUUUGAUAAAAUAUAAUAACCAAAUAAUAAUUCAGACCCUUCAUGGCAAUUUCUCAGUAAUUUUAUCGAUUAUAUCUACCAUUUAUAUACCUCCUUUUUCAAGUUUUAUUUUUUCUAUCAUUGAUUUUUGUCAAUUUUUUAUUAUUUUAUCCGAUUUAAAUAAAUAACUUCUAUUUUAUUAUUUUAUUAAUUUUUUUAUUAUUAUUCUAAAGUUAUUGUUCACUUUCUUUCAUUAUAAUAAUAUAUAAUUGACUAUUAUAAUCUUAUUUAAUUUUAUAUUAUUUUCAAAUUAAUCUAUCAUUGAUUAUUAUUUUUUCAAAUAAGUAUUCAAAAUAUUUCUUAAUAUUUAAUAAAAUUUAAUAUUUUUAAAAUAGUAUAAUUGAAAAUUUUAUAAAAUAAAUUAUUUUUUAAUAUGUGUGAAAAAUUUAUAUUCAGAAAAUAAAUUUUUAUUAAAAAAUAAAUAAACUAUUAUAAUUAAAUCAUCAUUAUUUUCAUCUAUUUUUCACUCAUUAAAAUAUAUUUUUAAUGAUAUCAUUAUUAAUAUUUGUAAAUAUAUUUUUUAAUAUAAGUUAUCCAUCAAUUAUUUAUGAUUUAUUAUUGUAGAGUUGAUUUUUAAUUAUAUUUACUGUAAAAAAAAAAUCUUUUCACUAUUGUUAAAACAUGUAAAUUUAUAAAAAAAUUAUAAAAAUAAUAUAAUAUUUUAAUACAGGAUUUACUAUUAAAAUUUAUUUUUUUAAAAAAAAAAUUUAACUCAUUAAAAUUUAUUUUUGUAUAAUUUUAAUUUUAUAAAUAGAUUAAUAACAAAGUAAGAUAAAUAAAAAAAAUUAUAAUUUAAUAAUAAAAAUAGUAUUAUAAAAAUAAAUUAAAUAAUGAGUGAAUAACUUAAAAAAAAAAUUAAGUGGAGAUUUGAAUUUGAAAUCUUAAAAAUGAAAAGUAAAUUUUUUGAAUUGAAAAAUAAUAUAGAAGAUGAGAGAUUAAAUAAUAAAAAUUUCUUUGAUAAAUAUAUUAAAUAAUUUAAAAUUAUAAAAUAUAAUUAUAAUUUAAUUAAAUAAUUUUGAAAUAAGGUCGAAUUGGUAAAUUUUUAAAAUAUAUAAAAAUUUAAUAAUAAUUUUUCAUAUUUUAAGAAAAAUUAUCUAUACACCUUAAAAAAAUUUCAAAAAUUUCAAAAGGCUUAGGAGUCUGUCAAUGUGCACUAUCUUGCUAUUCGUUUGACACCAAACCCUUAGAUAAAGGUAAUAUAGAAAUUAAAACUUUAUUUAUUUCAUAAAAAAUAUUUUAUAAAAAAUAUUACACGUAUAGUUUUAAUAAUAAUAAAAAAAACAGCUAAUUUAGGGGUUAAGUGUCACUUUAUAAUUUUUGUGUUUUUAUUUUUCUAAAAACUAAUUAUAUAAAAAUAAAUAUAAAUUUUUUAUAUAAUAAUAAGAAAUAAUAUAAAUUUUUAAAAUAUGAUAUUUAAUAGCAAAAUAAUAAUUUUUAAAAUAAUAAAAUUUUAAAUUUUAUAAAAAAAUUCACUGAUUGCCCACAUAUAUAUAUAUAUAUAUAUAAAUUGAAUUCCAAUUACUCUUCUCUACUAUACAAUUUUUUUUCGAGUUUCUCACUCUUAAAUCUUUUAUUAAUUUAAAAAAAUUUUACCAAUAAUAUCAAGGCGGGAGCUUUUUAGCAGGAAAAUGAAAUCUCUUUUUAAGAUUUUAGACACCGUUAUACAAUUAAGUCAUAUUUUUCUUAUAAAUUACUCUCAAGUUUGACUAAUUAGAAAGCUAAAAUUCCACAAAUUUAAAUAGGCUAUGUAGCCAUAUACAUAAAUUUUGAAGGUAAGAGAUAUCAAAUUUCAGUAGUGAAUCUGAAGUUUCCAGUAUUACAAGAACUGAUUAAACAGUCUUAAAACAGUAAUCUCGACUCCAAGAUUGAUAACCAAUCGUACUUGCUUGCACUACUGACAAAUUUAAUGAACUACUGAAAUUUAUAGAGGUUAUCAUAUGAAACUUUAGAGAGUUUUAAAUAAUUCUUUUUUAUAUGUUUAAAUUACUAAUAAGUCCUUCCAUUUUAUUAAAAUUAAUCAUUCAAUCUCUAUUUCUAAAUUAUUCAUUUAAAAUAUUUUAAAUUUUAUAAACUCAAAUUCUUUAAUAUUUUUAUCUAAUAAAAUAUUAGUAAAUAUAUUUUUAGCUUUAAUUAGAAAAAAUUAAAUUAUAUAUAAUAUAAAAUUUUAUUUUAACCAAAUGACAAAAUUAAAAAAUUAAACGGUCAAUUUUGACAAAAUAUAAAAGUCAAAUAAUAAUCCACUCUUUUCUAUCUUAAAUUAAUUUUUUGGGUACUUCAUGGAAAAUUCUCAAUAAUAAUCUACUCUUUUAUAUAAAAAUAUUAAUAAAUUAUGUUUACACAACAUAUCAUAGAAAUUAGAUAAUAAAUUUUACUUAUAAAAAAAUUUAAAAUAUUUUUAAUACGGAUAAACUAAUUAAUAAAUAUUUUUAUAAAACUAAAAAAUUAAUUAAUAAAUUUUUAAUAUCAUAAAAACUAAAUAAUAAAAUGUUUAAUAAUUAAAACUAAUAAAAUGACUAAUUAAUAUAUUUUUUAAAAUUUAAAGGAUUUUUUAUUUUAUUUUUCAAAAUUAAUUAAUAAAUUUUUUUAUAUUAAAUAAUAAUUUUUUAUAAUAAUAAAAUAAAGAUAUAUUUUAUAAAUUAAUUAAAUAAAUAUUUAUUUAAUAAUAUGAAUUUGACUGAUGAAAUAAAAUUUUAAAAUUUUUAACGAUAAUUUAAUAAAAGUUAUAUAUAUAUAAAAAAAAAAAUCGCAAUGACAAUAAACAUAUUCUUAACUUUUCUCGUUAAUGGCACGUAUAUAACUAUUAAUAAUAUAAGGUUUUAAAGUGAAAAUACAUAUUUUCUCCAAAUGUCAUAUAGGAAAAAGAAGAAAUGAAAUAUCACUUAAAAUUAUUAUAAAUUAAUAAAUAAUAUAACUUAUAAAUUAUAUAAAUUUACUGUGAGUAGAAAUUGAACUUGUUAUGUAUUUAAUUAUUAUCAUAUUUUAAAUUUAUUAUACAAGAAAAUAAUAAUUUUUUAUUUAAUAAUAACUUUUAUUGUUAUUAAAUUUUUUUUAUCACUAUAUUAAUUAUUAUUAUAUAAAUUUAAUUUGUUAUUAAAUAAUAUUUUUAUAUGAAAAAUUAAUAAAAAAAAUACAAAAUGUGGUGCAUAUAAACAACUAGUAACGCAUUUCCUUUUGUUAUCCUUACCACUUUACCAGCUGGCAGAGAGCCUUCCUUUUCCGAUUCUCUAUUUCCUUUCCUCAUUCCCAAUCUCCGAUCCAUCCCUAAAAACAACUGAGGAGAGAUCGAUGAUGAUGAAGAUGCCUUGGAGGAGGAAGAGCAGGAGCUUCCAUCUUCAGCUACAAGGGGCAAUUGGUACCAUUCAAUCUCCAUUCCUUUUCUUAUUUACCAAUUAUUGCCAUUCUUCUACUUCCACACUUGAAGAUGCACGCUUCUUGACAAAUAACUUCAAAUCUGCUUCUUUUACCCACCUUGAUGAUGCCAUUGCUUCCUUCAAUCAUGUAAUUCAUAAGCAUCCUCUGCCUUCUAGGGUUCCAUUUAAUAGAUUCUUAUCUGCCCUUGUGAAAAUGAAACAAUAUCACACUGUCCUUUCCAUGUCCAAAACAAUUGAAUUGCUAGGAAUCUCACACGAUGUUUAUUCUCUUAGCAUCUUAAUUAAUUGCUUCUGCCAUUUACACCUUGUGGAUUUUGGCUUCUCUGUUUUUGGUAAGAUGCUCAAAUUGGGAUUGGAGCCUAACAUUGUGACAUUUACGACCUUAAUUAAUGGGCUUUGUAUAGAGAGUAAAAUCGACAAAGCAGUGGAAUUUUUCGAUGAUAUGGUUGCACGUGGUUAUCAACCUGAUGUUCGUACUUUCAAUGUGAUAGUAAACGGAAUGUGUAAAUUUGGGAAAACAAAUGUGGCUAUUGGGCUACUGAAGGGAAUGGCUGAUAGAGGUUGUGAGCCAGAUGUUGUGACAUACGGAGCAAUCAUUGACGCCCUUCGCAAGGAUGAGCUAGUUGGUGAGGCUUUAGAGCUCUUCUCUCAAAUGAGGAAUAAGGGCAUUUCACCUGAUGUCAUCACUUACACUGGUUUAAUUCACGGUGUUUGCAAAUUAGGCCAAAAGAACCAAGCUUUGGCCUUGAUGAAUGAAAUGGUGGAGCAAAACAUAUUACCAGAUGUUUAUACCUUCAAUGUAUUGAUUGACGCACUUUGUAAGGAUGGAAUGGUUGCAGAGGCUCAAAAUACAUUCAAUGUAAUGAUUCAAAGAGGUGUAGAGCCUGAUGUGGUCACCUACAAUUCCUUAAUUGAUGGUCUUUGCAUUUCAGACCAAUUCAAGGAAGCUUUGGCCUUGUUGAAAGAAAUGGUCGGGAGGAACAUAUCCCCUAGUGUUUUUACCUUCAAUAUAUUGAUCGACACUCUUUGUAAGAAAGGACUGGUUUCAAAUGCACAGAAAAUAAUCAAGAUAAUGAUUCAAAGAGGUGUGGAACCUGAUGUUGUCACUUAUAAUUCAUUGAUGGAUGGAUAUUGUCUGUACAGGGAAAUUGAUAAGGCUAGAAAGGUAUUUGAUCUGAUGGUGACCAAUGAAAUAGCUAACAUUUUUAGCUACAGCAUUUUGAUCAAUGGAUAUUGUAAGUGCAAAAUGAUAGAUGAUGCAAAGGAACUUUUUGAUGAAAUGUCUCUUAAAGGUUUAGUUCCUAAUGUUGUUACUUAUUCUACUCUUAUAGAGGGUAUGUUUCGAGCAGGGAGGCCCCAAAAUGCAAAAGAGCUUUUUAAGGAUAUGUGCUCUCAUGGUCAACAGCCAGAUAUAGUAACCUUCUCAAUUAUGAUUGAUUGCUUGUGUAGACAGGGGAAUCUCGAUGAGGCACUCACACUAUUGAAAGCAAUGGAGAAAUGUCAGUUGAAGCCUAAUGUUGUGAUCUAUAGCAGUCUGAUCAAUGGUAUGUGCAAAGUUGGGAAGAUUAAUGAUGCCAAGGAACUUUUUUCUAGUCUUUUUGAAAUUGGUUUACAACCUGAUGUUUAUGUAUAUAAUGCAAUUAUGAAAGGACUCUGUCAACAAGGAUUAAUGGAUGAAGCGUAUAAGGUAUUUAAAGACAUGGAAAAGGUAGGAUGUUUACCAGAUAAUUGUUGUUAUAAUAUCAUCAUUCAAGGGUUUCUCAAGCAUGAGGAUUUACCAAAAGCAUCAGAACUAAUCAACGAAAUGGUUGAUAAGGGGUUCUCUGCUGAUGAUGCUACCACAGAAUUGGUCGUACAUUUAUCACAGAAUAAUAAUCUCAUUCUGAGGCUUUUAAAGGUGCGCAAUGAGGGAUCAGCAAACUAAAGUUGUUAUAUCUUGACCAUUCAAGUGUAUCUUGGACCGCAACUUGGUAAUUACCUUUUUCAAAUAUAAUAGAUAUUUUAUUUAACUAACUUCUUCAAAUAUCAUUUUUAAUUUCAAUCAGCUGUGAUUCUCUUCCACAAAAUGAAAAUUUCUAACACCGCAAAUGACCUGUGGUGGAAACCGUGAUAUGUGUGUGCCUUUCGCUUAAAUUCAGAUAUAGACUUGAUCUCUUUGAUAUAAGAUUGUUGAAGAAUGGAGGUCUUGGAUUACAAUUUUAUUUUUGGUUGCUACUACAGCCUUAACUCCAGAGCUCAAUCCUAAAAUUAAGUUGAGAACUAAAACUAAUUGGUUUCAUACUACAAUGCUUAAGAAUCUUUAUCUAUUAUUAUUUUUGUGCUCAAUGACCUUUUAAAAUGCUAUCAUUUCUCUUGUAGGUACUUGCAAGGAUAUGAUUAGAACUUUACUUUUCUAACAAUAAAGGUAUAAGCAAUUCUUUUUGCUUAAUUAUUAUAUUUUUAAUAAUAAUGAAAAUAAUGAUUAUAAACCAGUGUGCUUUAAUUGAGAAUUGAUUUAACAAUUAGACUACCCUAUAAAUGCAGGGUGCAGGAUGUACAAUCCCAGAGUACAUGGUAAGAGAAUCACUAGACUUCUACGGCUGUUGGUUGGAUGAAAUGUCACUAAAAGUAUAGACAACAGAAAAUGUUAUGGGAAUUGAGGGAAAAGCAAAAGAAGACGAUGAAAAUCAGACGUAUGCAGCCACUGAAUGUGUUGAUGGACAAGCAACUGCAAUUGGUCCUACUAGCGAUUGGAAUGCUAGUUUAGCUUCAGCUAUUUAACAGGACUUUUUGUCCAAAUUUAUUUAUGAACAAGUUCAUAAAAGGCAGGAUAGCUCUAUAUAUAACACAGGUAUAAUCAAAGAAGGUGGCAGGAAAAAUGUCAAUACAAAGAAACUUCAUCUGAUUAAAUGGAAUACUCUUUUGUUGCCUAAAAAGAAUGGAGGCUUAGGCAUGAAAGAGAUCUCUCUUCAAAUUCAAGCUCUUUUGUUCAAAUGGCUUUGGAGAUUUGAAAAUCAUAGGGAUUCACUCUGAGUUCAACUUCUUCUAUCCAAAUAUUCUUUCAAUGUGGAGAAGGGUAUCUCUCUUGCUCCAGGAAAUUGCAUUUUUUCCCGUCAGAAAGACAUUCGAGGCUAUGCUACUUUCGAUGAACUCUUCCUUCUCUCCUUGAAUUAAUAUCAGAUUUGCUGUGGGGAAUGAGAUGACAAUGAAAUUUUGGAAUGAGAGACGAUCGGUUGGUAAUAUUGCUCUCAAAUUCUCCUUUAGCAGACUAUUAAAUUUAGCAGCUAACCUAGUUGUGUUGAUGUUAAACAUUAGCUGUUGGGUGAAGAACAAAUGGGAAUGGGAAAUAAUUGAAUUGUCUAAAAUAUACUUAAUCUUUUAUAUUAUUUCUAAUAAUAUAUUUUAUUAUUUAAAUAAUUUUUAUGAAUUUAAAAUUCUAAUUUCCAUAAAUAAAUGUGGUAAUAUUUAUGUGAGAUUGUAAAUUCAAUAUUUUUUAAAAAGGUAGUUUUAGAAAAAAUAAAAUCGAUUUUGUAAACAAAUUUUGAAAAAUGGAAAACCCAAUUACUUUAAAAAUAUCCAUUUCCAUAUAAAUUUAAUUAAAAAAUAAAUAUUUGCUUCUUUUUUUUUUUAACUUUCGUUCCCCAUUAUUAUUUAUAAAUACUAAUAGUUACAUUGGAAAAUUUAUAAUUUAUUUUUAUUAAUAUAAUUUAUUUAAUUAAUUUAUAAUAUAAUAUUUUAAUUUGCAUAUAAAUUCCACAUGUUCACUCCUAUUUUAAUGGAUUAAAAAAUUAUAUAAAUAUACAUUAUUUAAAAUAUUUUAAUUUGAUUUGUUCAAUUAAUUUACUAUUUUAAUUUAAUUUAUGUUCUAUUAACAAAUAUAAUAUUAAAAUUUUUCAUAGAUUGAGUAUUUUACAUAGAAUAAAAAUAUAAAAUUAUUUAGAAUUUUGUCAUAUCUUUCAAAUUAUAAAUCACUAAGUACAAUUUAUUAUUGAAAAUUAAUAAUUUUAAAUAAAAUAAAAAUAUAUUAUUAUUGUUAUUAAUUUUGAAAUUUAUAUUGUAUUAGGAUAAAGUUUUUUAGUUAUAAUUUAUAUAUAAUUUGACUAUAAUAAUUUUUUUAAAAAAAUGUAUAUUAACGGUAAUUUUAUUAAAUAACAGAUAUUAGCAAAUAAAAUUAAAAUUUGAAUAUUUCAAUUAUAGUAAAAAAAUCAACUAAAAUUAUUUAUUUUCUUAAUGUUAUUUUAUUUUAAUUCUUUUAGAUACUUUGAUUAAAUAUAUUCAUAUAAAAUGUGAUAUUAAGAUAAUAGGAGCCCAAAUUUAAUUGCCUAUUUGCAAUAAUAAUAAUAAUAAUAAUAAUAAUAAUAAUAAUAAUAAUAAUAAUAAUAAUAAUAAUAAUAAUAAUAUUUAAUAAUAAUAAUAAUAAUAAUAUUUAAUAAUAAUAAUAAUAAUAAUAUUAUCAUUAUUAUUAUUAUUAUUAUUAUUAUUAUUAUAUAAAAAAUUAGAUAAUUAAUAAAAAUUCCUCUUCACUAGGGUGAGCAGUAUUCAGUUCAAACCGAAAAAAUCGACCGAAUCGAAUUAAUUUGAAAAUUCAGUUCGGUUUUUUAUUUAUUUCGAUUCAGUUCGGUUUUAAAUUUCAGAAAUUUUGGUCAAAUCGAUUCGGUUCGAUUUUAAUCAGAAAAAAAUCGAAAAAACCGAACCGAACCGAUUAGUAAUAAUAAUAUAGUUUUUUAAUAAUAUAGAGAAAUUAAAUCAUAUUAAAAUUAAAAUAUUUUAAUUAAAUUUUAAAAUAUUAAAAAUAAAUUGUAAAAAAUAAAAAAAUUAUUAAAAAUUGAAACCGAUUAAACCGAAUCGAAUCGAACCGAAUCAGACCGGUUCGGUUCGAUUCGGUUUCUGACCAAAAUCGAUUCGGUUCGGUUUUCAUAAAUACUAAAAUUUCAAUUUUCGGUUUAUUCAGUUCGAUUCGGUUUUGAACAGAACCGACCGAAUGCUCACCCCUAUUCUUCACUGCUUUAAUUUGCAACUUUUUUAAAAUCAAUUAAUAAACUAAUCCAGCUAAAAUAUUUUAUUUAAUGCUAAAAUUCUAAAUUUUAUCUCACUUGUUAUCCAUAUAUAUAAAUUGAAUUUCAAUUACUCUUCUGAAUUUCCUUUCGAGUUUUUUCACUCUCAAAUCUUUUUUUAAUUUAGAAAAGUUUGAUCAAUAAUGUCAUUGUGGAGAGUUUUUAACAGGAAAAUGGAUUCUCUCCCUAGGAUUUUAGGUCAAUGAUAUGCAAUCAAGUCAUUUUUUUCUUAUAAAUUACUCUCCAGUUCAACUGAUCUGAAAACUAAAACACCGCAAAUUAAAAAGGGCUAUGCAACCAUAUACGUGGAUGACGAGGGCAAGAGAUAUCAAAUUCCAAUAGAGAAUCUAAAGUUUUCGACAUUAUAAGAACCGAUUAAACAGUUUCAUGAUAGUGAUCUCGACUCCAAGAUUGAUGGGCCAAUCGUGUUGCUUACACUACUGAUAAGUUUGAUAAACUGCUAAAACUUACAAGAGAUUGUCAUAUGAAACUUUAAAAAAAUUUGAAUAAUUCUUUUCUAUAUGAUUGAAUUACUAAUAAAUUUUUAUGUUUUAUUAAAAUUACAUAUUCGAUUUCUAUUUCGAAAUCACUCAAUUAAAAUAUUUUGAGUUUUAUAAAAUCAAAAACUUUAAUAUUCUUAUCGAAUAAAAUAUUAGUAAAUAUAACAAAUAAAAUUGAAAAUGCCAAAUAUAUGAAAUGAGUUUGAGCAUUUUAAAAUUUUAUUAUAUUGAAAUCAUUUUGUAUAUUAAUUUUUUAUUAUAUUAAUUAAAAUUGUAAUAUUAUUCAAAUAAAAAAUGCUUUAAAUAACUUUUGUAAAAGUAAAGCUUGGUAAAAAAAUUAAUUUAAAAUAAAAUAAUUAAUAAUAAAAAAUUAUAUAAAAUAAAAAUCAAUUAGAUUUUUCAUGAAAUUUUAUUCAAUAUUAAAAAUAAAAUUAACUAUUUAUAUAACCGCCUUUAAUUAGGUACCCAAUAUUGUAUAAAAAAAAUAAUAUAGAAGUAAUAUAUAUGUAUAAUUAACAUACACAAUGUCUACAAAUAGGCAAUAGCCAAUAGCACUUUAGCAAUGAUAAAUUAUUAUUAUAUAAAUUUAAUUUGUUAUUAAAUAAUAUUUUUAUAUGAAAAUUUAAUAAAAAAUUACAAAAUGUGGUGCAUAUAAACAACAGAGUAAUGCAUUUCCUUUACCAGCAGGCAGAGAGCCUUCCUUUUCCAAUUCUCUAUUUCCUUUCCUCAUUCCCAAUCUCCGAUCCAUCCCUAAAAACAACUGAAGAGAGAUAUGAUGAUGAAGAUGCCUUGGAGGAGGAAGAGCAGGAGCUUCCAUCUUCAGCUACAAGGGGCAAUUGGUACCAUUCAAUCUCCAUUCCUAUUCUUAUUUACCAAUUAUUGCCAUUCUUCUACUUCCACACUUGAAGAUGCACGCUUCUUCACAAAUAACUUCAAAUCUGCUUCUUUUACCCGCCUUCAUGAUGCCAUUGCUUCCUUUAAUCAUGUAAUUCAUAUGAAUCCUCUGCCUUCUAGGGUUCAUUUUAAUAGAUUCUUAUCUGCCCUUGUGAAAAUGAAACAAUAUCACACUGUCCUUUCCAUGUCCAAAACAAUUGAAUUUCUAGGAAUCUCACACGAUGUUUAUUCUCUUAGCAUCUUAAUUAAUUGCUUCUGCCACUUACACCUCGGGGAUUUUGGCUUCUCUGUUUUUGGUAAGAUGCUCAAAUUCGGAUUGGAGCCUACCACUGUGACAUUUACUACCUUAAUUAAUGGGCUUUGUAUGGAGAGUAAAAUCGACAAAGCAGUAGAAUUUUUCGAUGAUAUGGUUGCACGUGGUUAUCAACCUAAUGUUUAUACUUAUAAUGUGAUAGUAAAUGGAAUGUGUAAAUUUGGGAAAACAAGUGUGGCUAUUGGGCUACUAAAGGGAAUGGCUGAUAGAGGUUGUGAGCCAAAUGUUGUGACAUACAGUGCAAUCAUUGACGCCCUUUGCAAGGAUGAGCUAGUUGGUGAGGCUUUAGAGCUCCUCUCUCAAAUGAGGAAUAAGGGCAUUUCACCUGAUGUCAUCACUUACACUGGUUUAAUUCACGGUGUUUGCAAAUUAGGCCAAAAGAACCAAGCUUUGGCCUUGAUGAAUGAAAUGGUGGAGCAAAACAUAUUACCAGAUGUUUAUACCUUCAAUGUAUUGAUUGACGCUCUUUGUAAGGAUGGAAUGGUUGCAGAGGCUCAAAAUACAUUCAAUGUAAUGAUUCAAAGAGGUGUAGAGCCUAAUGUGGUCACCUACAGUUCCUUAAUCGAUGGUCUUUGCAUUUCAGACCAAUUCAAGGAAGCUUUGGCCUUGUUGAAAGAAAUGGUGGGGAGGAACAUAUCCCCUGAUGUUUUUACCUUCAAUAUAUUGAUCGACACUCUUUGUAAGAAAGGACUGGUUUCAAGUGCUGAGAAUAUAAUCAAAAUAAUGAUUCAAAGAGGUGUGGAACCUAGUGUUGUCACCUAUAGUUCAUUGAUGGAUGGAUAUUGUCUGUGCAGGGAAAUUGAUAAGGCUAGAAAGGUAUUUGAUCUGACCAAUGAAAUAGCUGACAUUUUUAGCUACAGCAUUUUGAUCAAUGGAUAUUGUAAGUGCAAAAUGAUAGAUGAUGCAAAGGAACUUUUUGAUGAAAUGUCUGAUAAAGGUUUAGUUCCUGAUGUUGUUACUUAUUCUACUCUUAUAGAGGGUAUGUUUCAAGCAAGGAGGCCCCAAACUGCACAGGAGCUCUUUAAGAAUAUGUGCUCUCAUGGUCAACAGCCAAAUAUAGUAACCUUCUCAAUUAUGAUUAAUGGCUUGUGUAGACAGGGGAAUCUCGAUGAAGCACUCACCCUAUUGAAAGAAAUGGAGGAAAGUCAGUUGAAGCCUGAUCUUGUGACCUAUUGCAUUCUGAUCAAUGGUAUGUGCAAAGCUGGCAAGAUUAAUGAUGCCAAGGAACUGUUUUCUAGUCUUUUUGAAAAUGGUUUACAACCUAAUGUUCAUAUAUAUAGUGCAAUUAUGAAAGGACUCUGCCGAGAAGGAUUAAUGGACAAAGCAUAUCAGAUUUUUAGAGACAUGGAAAAGGGAGGAUGUUUACCGAAUAAUUGUUGUUAUAAUAUCAUCAUUCAAGGGUUUCUCAAGCAUGAGGAUUUACCAAAAGCAUCAGAACUAAUCAACGAAAUGGUUGAUAAGGGGUUCUCUGCUGAUGCUACUACCACAGAAUUGGUAGUACAUUUAUCGCAGAAUAAUGAUCUCAUUCUAAGCAAACUACGAAAUCGUUCUGAGGCUUCUAAAGGGGUGCAAUGAGGGAUCAGCAAACUAAAAUUGUUAUAUCUUGACCGUUCAAUGGUGUCUUGGAGAGAAACUUGGUAAUUACCUUCUUCAAAUGUAGUAGAUAUGUAAUUUAACUAACUUCAAAUUUCAUGUUUAAUUUCAAUCAGCUGUGAUUCUCUUCCACAAAACAAAAAUUUCUAACACUGUAAAUUACCUGCAGUGGAAACCAUGAUAUGUUUGUGCCUUUCUCUUGAACUCAGACAUGGACUAGACCUCUUUGGAUAUAAGAUUGUUGAUGAAUGGAGGUCAUAGAUUUCUAAUGAUCAAGUUGCUGGUAAACCCACCAUCUUCCUUACAAUUUUUUUUUGGGCUGCUACUACAGCCUUAACUCGAGAGCUUAGUCCUAAAAAUGAGUUGAGAACUAAAACUACUUGAUUCCAUGCUAUAAUGCUUAAGAAUCUUUAUCUAUUUUACUUUUGUGCUCAAUGACCUUUUAAGAUGCUAUCAUUUUUCAGUAAACAUGCUGCAUUAGGACAAUAACUUGGAGAUUGGAUCAUAUAUUUUGAUUUUUACUAGUAAGAAUGCAGGUGUUAAAUCAGUGAACUAGCAGGUGUUAACACCUGCUUUCUGUAUCAUUUUACCAAAGCUACUCAUGCCUGUUUCCGUCCAUUAGAAUUUAACACCUACUAGUUUAUCAUAUACUUGCAUUACUUGUAAUAAGUUUAUGCUCCCAAAAUGAUUUCUAUUUAUUGCUAGUUUAUUACUUGUAGUAAGUUUAUGCUCAAAAUAAUUUAUAUCUAUUGCUCCUUGAGUUAAUACUUAUAACUUGAACUAGAGUUAAUACUUACUCCUUGAGUGCAAGUUUUAACACCUACUUGUUGAGUUUAAGUAUUAAUUUGAGCUUUUGCAACAGGUACAUCUGAGCUUUAGCAUGGUGCAGUAUGUCUUCCACCAGUCCAUCGGGUCUUUUCCCACAUGCCUGAGAUGAAGAUGGAUUAGAUGAGCAAAUCCAGGAUUUUUGUUGAUUACUUGUUGUACACAUUUUGGGGUACUAUUUGUUUUGGCAUUUACUACAAAAAUAUACUUUUAAUUAUACAUUUUUUUGUGGUUGUACUAGAUUAUUUAUGUGCAAAUUUAAGUUCAAAAGACUUUUCUUUUUAUUAUAAUUGAAUACAUCAGAUUUGUGGUUGAUUUGUGUUAUAUUAUGCAUUUAAUAGGUUGGUUUUGUGAUAUUUGUAAUUAUUUUGGAUCGGUUAAAUAAAAAUUGCAAACGAAAAUGCAAUUGAAAAUCUGGUUCAAAUUUCGUAAAGGGUGUAAGGAAGCAACAUUGAGUCACUUUGCUCUGUAGAUGAUUUGUUUUUGUCUUGUCAUGGGGCUAGGAAUUUGGUCUGUGGGCUUGGAGAGGCCUUGAAGUUGAGGAGGUUUUAGGAUUGCAAGUAAAUGAGUCUAAGAGCUGUGUUUAUCUUGCAAGAGUGCUAGAGGAGAUUAAGCAGCAAAUUCUACAAUUCCUCAAUUUCAGGGAGGCAUUUCUUCCUGUUAUCUAUUUGGGAUUACCUCUGGUAUCUACUAGUAUUAAAAAAGAGCAUUUUCAGAAGCUUAUUAGUAUAAUAACUAGUAGAAUUGACUCAUGGUCUGCUAAAUAAUUAUCCUAUGCUGGUAGGGUACAUGGUGAGGAAUAAGUUGAAAAGCCUCAGUUUUUGGGGAUCUCUAAACCUUGUAAUGCUAGUUGAUCUUGAAAGAAUUGGUGAAAAUUAGAGAUUGUUUUAGAAAGCAUUGUGCAUAUAAGUUGGGAAGAGGGGUUUUUCAUUUUGGUAUGACCCUUGCAUGGGUGGGAAAAGUCUUGUUGAGAGGUCUCUGAGUUGAAUAUGGGAUAUUCUGACAUCAUAGACAUACUAAGGUGAGGGAGGUUUGGAGGGAUGGUAUGUGGAGGCUUCCUAAUCCAUUGGGUUCCACUAUGGAAGGAGCCUGGGAAGAGGUUCAGAAAUAUUACGUAAGCAAUGAAUGGGCAGAUUGUAUUAAAUGGAAACUCAUAGACUUACACUGUUAAUAGUACUUGGAAAGUCCUAAGAAGGAAGGGUGGAGUGGUUAAUUGGUGGAAGGUGGUGUGGGGUGAGCGUAUUCCCAGGCACAGUUUUAUAACCUGGUUAGCUAUCUAUAGUAGACUUGUUGUCAAAAAGAGGCUACUUAGAUGGGGAAUGGUAAAUAAUGCGUGGUUUUGCUUAUGAUUACUUAAUAUUAAUUAGAUUAAUGAUCACUAAUAGAUAAAAGUGUCUGAAGGAAAGAGACACUUAUAAAGAUUAGUGUGUAAAAUCUAUAUGAUUAUUUAAUAUUAAUUAGAUUAAUGCUCACCUAUCGAAAAAGGUGAAAUUAAGUAAAAAGGUCAUGUUUUUUUAGUAAAUUGUAUCGCUCACGAUUAAGUAGAAAUGUUCUUGUGACAAUACUUUACAGUUUUGGCAUGGUGCAGUAGUUAGGAGUAUAAAUGAAUUAAAUUAUUUGUUUGUGAGUUAUUUGAGAUUCGACUCGAUAAAAAUUUAAUCGGGCUCGAUCUAAUUUAUAUACAAGCCAAGUUCGAGCUUAAUUUUUAGACUUGUUUAGUAAACGAGUCAAGUUUGAACUCCAUAGUAUUCGGCUCGUUAAAACUUGUGUGCUCGACUCUUUUCCGAGUUUAUGAACAGAUUCACAAAUAGGCUCGUAAAUUAUCUCGUUAAGUAGGCUGAGAUUAACAUCAUAAGAUAAAUAAAUUCAAAUCAUGCAUAUAUUUUCAUAAGCCAACCUAAAUUUUCUAAAGUUCAAGUCUACAUAGUUUAAUUACAUUUUUCAAACUUGCAGAUAUUUGGAUCGUUAAGAUUUAAGAGCUCAUUCUUUACAAGUUUGUGAGUUAAUUUUUAUAUAUAUUUAUUGAAUUAAAAUUAAGUAUUUGAUUGUCUAGUAUAACUUGGUUAAGUGACUAAAAGAAUAUGUAAUUCAUCUGAAAUUAUAAAUUCAGUUUUCACUCCUCUAUUUCCCAAAAAAUAAUUAUUAUAAUAAAAUAGAUAAUUGCUAAAAAAAUCUUACAUUUUUAAUUUUAUUACGGUUAUACCUUAAACUUUUAAAUUAUUAUCGAUUUAAUCGUGAAAUUUGUUGAUGUGUCAUACUGAUAUGAUAUUGAUAUGGCGAAUGACGUGGCAAUUCUGUUAGUUUUUAACGGCACAAGUAACAGUAGGGUAUAAUUAGAACAACUUUAAAAGAUAAGGGUUUAAUUGACACAAAAAAAAAAGUAUAGAGUGUAAUUACAAUAAAAUCAAAGUACAAAAUUUUUUUUUCCAUUAACGGUUGAACAUAUUAGUUUUAAACUAAAAAUCAUUAUAUAUGUACAUAAAUUGAACUGUUCAUGAAUUAUUCGAUAUUAAACUUGAUAAAAACUCAACUCGUUUAAGUCUGUCUGCUAAAUGAGGUUUAAGUUUCUUUACUAAAUGGGGCAAGUUUGAAUUUAUCGAUACUUGAUUGGAGUUCGAAAUAAGUAAAAAUUGAGUUUCACUCAACCUCAAAGAACUUUUAAGAAAUUAAGUUUAAGCUUUUCAAAGUUUGGAUCGUUUCACUCACACCCCUAACAGUAACUCCUCCAUUCAGUCCUUUCUUGUGAGUCUCAGAUGAAGAAGGAUUAGAUGAGGAGAUCAAAAAUCUUUAUCCGUUACUUGUGGAUUAUUUGUUAUUUACAUUUGUAGAUAUUAUUUAAUUUUAUGUUUACAAUAAAAAUAUACUUUUAAUUAUGAAUUUCAUUUUGGUGUUGUAUUGAAUUAUUUAUGUUCGAAAUAAUUUUUGAUUUAUUGUUUCAAUGCACUAUAUUUGUAGUUGAUUGUAUAAAUAUUGGGUUUUUGAUAUUUACAGGUGUUUUAGAUUAGUGGCAUAAAAAUUAUAAAGAGAAACGCAAAUUAAAAGUAUAUUUAUAAAAUUACAAAUAAAUUUAUAAAUAAAUAUUUUAUUACAUUUACAAACGGUGUCGUAUAUAAUUUAGCAAGCAAUGUCCAUAAAUAGAUAAGUUUAAAUUACAAAUGGACUUAAUUUUUUGUAUGAUUAAUGAAUUUAUAAAUAAAUAAAUUAUUUGAAUUUUAAAUGAAUUUUACAAAUAUAUAAACAGUUUGAAUUACAAAUAUAUUUCAUAUCAGACAUUUAUAUCAUAAAUAUUUUUAUAAAUAGAUUGUCCAUUUUAUAUCAUAAAUGAAUUUACAAAUAAAUUAUCUGUUUAUACAUAAAAUUUUAUUUAUAAAUGAGAGAAUAUAUAAUAAAAAAUUUUAUUUUUCAUUUCAAAAAUAUUACAUAUGAAAUUUACAUAAAGUUUGCGAUCGUAUAUUAAAUUACAAAUGAAAGUGCAUAAUUUUCAACUAGAUUUUUUCAUGUGUAAUUUUUUUUUUUUUUUUUAGUGGCAAGUCUAAUAAGAAUGUUGAACAAAUACUUGGUCUCUUUUUAUUCGCAGACGAGACAUUACAGUGGUAAAAGUUAGGAUCUUUUUAAUAGGAUUUGAACAAUAUAAAUAAAAACAAAGGCUGGGGGAGAAAUAAUAGGAUUGCAAAAAAUAUAUAAGAUAAUUUAUUAUUAUAAAAAUAAAUGAAUAAUCUUAUUUAACAUUUAUUCGCUAAUAAAAAUUAAAUAAUUCAAUAUAUUUUAAAAAUUUUAAGUUAUAAAAUUCUAAUAAUGUGAUAUGAAAAUAUAUACAAUAAUUUAAUAUUAUACUAAAAAGGAAUUAUUUUUAUUUAAAUUAAUUAAUAACAAAAUUAAAUUAAUCAAUACUUUGAAUAAAUUUCAACUUAUAAAAUUAUAGUAAAAAAAAUAAGAAUUCUAAUAUCAUCUCAAACUCAGUUUUAAAAUAAAACUCCUUCUACAUUAUUUACAUAGGAAUAAUAUUAAUAAAUUAAACUAAUAUUAUGUUUUUAAUGGAAUAAAAUAAAAUGAUAUAAAAUAUUAAUGUGGUUGAUUAAUUUUGAAAUUCUAAUACAUUUUUAAAGUUAGUGUACAGUAAAAUUAAUAUAAAAUACACUUAAUUUAAUUAAUUAAAUAAUAACUUUAAUUGAUUAAAAUAUAUACACAUAAAAACUCCAUGUGAUUAAUAAAAAAAUAAUAACUUUAAUUGAAUGAAAUAUAAAAGUUUAAUGUAAUCAAUUUUUAAUAAAGAGUGAACUAUAUUUAUUAUAAAUUUAUUAUAAUAAUGAAUAAUUAAAUUUAAUUAAUUUAAAAUUAAUAAUAAUAAUGAUCAUAAGAAUAAUUUAUAUAAAAAAAUAACGUUAUAAAAAUUUAAGAUGCUAUAAAAUUUUUUUAAUAAAGUUUAUUGGUGCAAAUAUAUAUCUAGUUUUUCUUAAUUCAAUUAUUAUCAAUUUAUUUUACUCUUUUAAUAAUUACUCUCUUAAAAUAUGUUAGAGAAACACUUUUUUUGUAAGUUUUAUACCAAACGUACUUUAUAUUCAUUUGAUAAAUCUGCUAAAAUUUAAUUUAUUGUACAGAAUUUAAAAUUAUUUAUUUUUCUUUUUAAAAAAUAAAAAAAAUCUUUGUUUUACCAUGUUUCAGCUUUUAUGUAAUUAAUAUGAAUAAAGAUUGGUUUUAUACUUAGUAAAAUAUAAAUUCAAGUAAAUUCAUGUAUAGAUUUGUCCUAAAAUAUAUGUAAAAUGUAAUGUAAUUAAUAUCAAUAAUAGUAUUUAGUGAUGGUAUCCUCAGCAUAUAUAAUGUCGGGUAUAAAUUUGUAAAAUAAAUAAAUACGGAAUGGUUGGUUGUGGAUAAUUUUUGUGAUACUUAGGUCAGUAAGUGAUUUAUCAGAAAUUUUAAAAUAAAAGGUAUAGAGAAUAGUUUGAUUAAAAGAGUAUAUACAUGAGGUGUCUUUUUAUAGGUCUAAAGUUGGUUGAUUUUUGGUAGAAGUAGGAUUCUUUUUUGAAAUCUAUUUUUGUAACGACCCGGAAACCGGACCGCUACCGGCGCUAGGAUCCAGAUCGACUUAAGGUCGCCGGGAUCCGUAGCAAACCUACUAUACAACCUGUGUACCUGAUAAAACCCAUACAUGAUCAUACAUUUUCAUAACAUUUUAAAUUUUUCAUAUGCAAGCUUGACCUGUGCAUGCACCAUAGCCAAAAACACAAAACCCCUAUACUAGAGCCCUCAUCAAAUGCUCUAGUAGGGUCAACAUUUCAUACGUCAAGCUUGGUUCAACAUACCUCAUCAUUAAAAUAUUUCAUAUAGAUCAUGUAUAAAAGGGUUUAACCAUACAUCACUAGGGCAAAGCACAAUUCUAUCCAUAAUACAUUACAUUACAUUAUAUUACAUUUCGUUCCAUAUCAUGUUCACUACUGUUCUAUUACAUAACAUAACUAUUACUCUUGCUGACUUCUUGAGCUACCUCUGACCUGCAAACUGGGGGUUAGGGGAAAUGGGUGAGCUACUAAGCCCAGUGAGCAGAACCAUAAAACAGUUAAAUAAUCAUAUGCUCAUAUGGAAUGCACCACAACACAAACAAUACACAUUAAGGAUGGACUGACCCAAAAAUCCCUCUACUCUGUGCCCGGCCCUCGGUGGAGCUCCUCAUGACUUCUUUACUUACAUAAAUUGCGUGCCAGGGGCGUAGAAUGGGCAAUUCUGGUCUUUCAUUACAUAACAUAAUAUGUAGAGGGCUAAUGGUCGUCCUGUUGUCCAUCCACAUCAACAACCAGUUAUGCAGUGCAGCAUAUUCGUGAAGUCUAAUGCAAACAACCUAUUACAUAUACAUGAUGCGUGAACAUGCUUAAAACAUUUGAUUUCUUGAGAUAAAAGAUUAGUUUAGUUCUACUCACCUCUGACUGACGCUUAACUAACUCUGAAGCAGCUAGCUCACUGCUGGUCUCUUCGGUCUCUCGGCUCCGAACCUACACAGGUGGACUCAAAUGAGGGACCAAACAUACUCUAUAAAGACUCUAAAUAUAGCCCCCAAAACCCCCCAAAGCAUCAUAAAACAUGCAUGCAAAACAGGCAAGGGAAGGCUGGACAGAGGACUUUCGGCGGCAGGUUCGGCGGCCGAAGGUCCCUACAGAUCCGAAAGUCAAGCACUUUCGGGGGCAGGUUCGACGGCCGAAACUUCACUCUAGAGACGAAAGUCACCAACCUUCGGCUGCUGAAACUCCUCUCCAGAGCCGAAAGUUCAACUUUCGGAGGCGAGCUUAGGCGGCCAAAACUGCCUCCACAGUCAGGUUCGACGGCCGAACAUGGCUUCGGCGGCCGAACCUGGAUCCUUCUGAGUGGCAGAACCCGAUUCUGCCAUUCCACAUCUAGCCUCCCAAAACCUUCCAAACUCAAACUCAACACACCAAAGCAUGCAUAAACACAUUCUUAAGCAUAUAGGGGCAUAAAACUAGCCUAAACCCCAACAUAACAUCACAUAAACAUACAUAGAGCAUACAUUCAAUAUAAACCCUAACAUUUUCACAACUAACCUAAACAUGCAUCAACAACCCAUAACCCCCUUAUAAAACAUACUUAAAACAUAAAAAAGGGUAUGGAUCUACACUUACCUCUUGAAGAUCGAGAGGAGAGGUGAUCCAAACUUGGAGAUUGGGAGAAAUCGAGCUCCGGGGUCUCCAAGCUUCAAAACUUUAAUCUUAGCUUAAAAACUUCAAAAUAAGGGUAAAAACUCAUCAAAAACAUAAUUGAUUUGUAGGAAAACAUAAAAUCAACCAAAGGAGGGCGAAAUCUCACCUAUGCUCAAAAAUAGAGAGAGAAAACUCGUCCGUUUUCGGAUAAGGGGCUUUUUAUAGGUGGCUGGCCAGACCACCUUCGGAGGCCAAAAGUGCCUCCGCAAGAGGCCAAUGUUCGGAGGCCGAACAUGAGGUUUGGCGGCCGAACCUGGCUUUUUUCCUCCUUGGUCUUUUCUUUCAAAACUCAAUUUCCUUCUUCAUUAAAACCAUAAGAACAUAUAAAAAUAUUUUAGAAAACCUUUAUUUUCACCAUUCUAAGGGAUUCCGGCCUUAAGAUUCCAGAUUUCAACGGAAAUUCCGCUGGAAAAUUGGAAUUCCGGUGCCGGAACUUAGCCAGGUGUUACAAUUUUGGUCCUAAAUUGUAGAAUUUUACUUUAAAGACUUUUUACUUAUAUGUGAUUUAGAAUCCUAAUUGUCAUACGACUUUUACGUGAUUUGAACAAUGUUGUCUAUUUGGAUUUCGGCCUAGUAGGCCGAAGCCUUCGGCUCCGUGAUCGUCACCUUUGGUUUCAAUCCUAAGGCUGAGACCUCGUGUUGAUAUUAGCCUUGAGGCUGAAAUCUUGAGGUCUCGACAUCCAUUUAGCAUUUUGGAUGCCGAGAUCUAAGAGUUUCGACCUUUCGGUCCUAAAGCCGAACACCUUUGAGUAUCAGAACCUUAUUUCUCACUAAAAUGCAUCGCUUAGAAUCAAGCAAAAUAUGACAUAUUUUUAAACUAAUAUAAAUGAUUAAUUAUAUAAUAUUAUGAUAUAGACACUAGAGAGCAUUUUAGUUUUCUUUUUUUUUUCUUUAUAUAUAUAUAUAUAGACACUUGAGUUUAUCUUAUAUAUGUCUAUAAAUGGUAGUUUUAGAAUUUAAGAUAUAAAUAUAAAUAAUAAGGUAUUAUUAUUUAAAUUGCCAAAACUACAUUUAAUAAUUGUAAGUUUGAUGAGUAGCAGAACUCACCACUUGUUUCUUAUUAAAUUUCAUAAUUUUAAUAUAAAUAAUUAAUUUUUACUUAAAAUUUAAUUUUGUUCAGGUUUUUAAGCGGAAGUUAAAGAAAAGGAACGCAAAUAGGCUUAAUUAAAAGAUUUUCAAAUUGAGAGUUACAGUAUUGGGUAAGCCUGUAGUCCAAGACAAUGGACAGCUUCCGAUUUCAAAAAAUGCAACUUCAGCCCAAUUUUUUCAGCUGUAUUAAUAUAAGAUCAACUUUAAAUUGGAGCAAAUACAAUCAUAUUAGAAUAGGGAUAAGAUAGAAGUAAUAAAAUUUAUUUUAAAUUGUAAAUAUUUAUAUUUUUGUUGGAAAAAAAUCCAUAUAAAGGCUACUCAAAAAUUAAUCUAGGUAUCAUAUUUUUCUCUUCUUCUUCUCCCCUCUCAAAUUUGGCCACCUCCUUGCUGUCCCCUUCUUCUUCUCUUUAGUUUUUGUAAUUUUAUCAUGACUCUUAGGGAUUGACCAAUUCUUUUCAAUUGAAAGUUAAUCUAAAUUGAGGUUUUAUUCAAGUUGUGAGAUUAUGUGCUUAAAUUCUCUUCCUAUUAUUUCUAUUUUCUAUUAAUUUCUAUUUUCAAAAAAUACGACCUCGAUUGUUGUCCUCUUAGAAAUUAAGGGGCCCAUUGAAUCUCUUGGAAAGACAACAUAUUACUCAUUAACUCAAUUAAAUUCGUAAUUGUUUAAUUGAGUUAAUAAUAAAUACUAAUUAUGUUAAGAAAUUAGUUUUGAUUUAAAUAAUUCGCGUGUUAUUAUUGAUCAAAUUUAGUGCAAACUUCUUUUCUUUUGUUGGAGUGGUUUGACGUCUUUGUCAACAGACAACUUAUGAGCAGUGAGAGCGAAAUUCACUCUUAUUACAUCUUUUGGAGACCAAGCGAAAAUGGUUACUUGGCAAUUUAGCAACUCUAUUAAAUAAGUCUUUGUUUCACUGGUUAACGCAAUACCGAACCGUACUUUUUGAUUCUUAUCUAAUUCAACCUUUUCUACUAGGUCUCUAGCUCUGUUUUUAUGUGAGAUUCUGGCUUCUUUAGCAAGUCAAUGGGUAUUGUGGCUUUCUCGAGACUUUUUGCGGGGUGUUCGUAAUAUUCUUUAGCCAAUCUCAGGCUACCUCAGACCACGGUUAUCCCCCUGGAGCUGUUAACUUAAGACACAUAGUAUCCGUGUUAAUAACAAUACUGUGACAGUUUAGAACUGGGCGACUGAGUAUCACAUGGUACACAAAUGAGAUAUCUACCAUCGCAAACUCUACAUACAACUCUCGCCUAUAUUUUUCGUCACCCAGGGAAGGUUGAUGGUAUCUACUACUGUCACGGACUUAUCUCCUAAGAUAGGAAACUUUGACAAGACUGUUUUUAUCUAAAUCUAACUUGUUAAAAAUAUUUUAUAUGAGAAGGUUAAUGGAACUAACUGUAUUCACCCAUACUCGCCUUACUUCGAAUCUAUUUUAGAAGGAUUUUAACAACCACUAGGUCAUUUUGAAAGAAUCCAAUCACUUUACCUACAGGACCAAACCUUUAUUUUUUCCUUUACCCUUGUCAUGUCCUCUAUAAUGAUAUGUAUGAUUCCGGCCAUUUAGCUAUUUCAAGAUAGAGAAGAGAUAUUUCUUUUUUAGAGAAUUAGAUAUAUUAUAUGACCCUAUUUACGCUGGACUGUAUCUGAUAACGGUUACUUUACAUUGAAAUCUUGAUAAUCAACCGCAUAUUUAAAGUGUCUGAAUUUUUCUUUUCUCAAAUGAAAAAGUAUUACUUAUUUAUAAGGUUCUUGUCAUAUCACCCUAUUUUAUGGCAAUAACUUAUAAAUUUAUUGUAUUUUAUUAUUAUUUAUAAAUAUUUAAUUUAAUUGAUUAAUUAUAUCAAUUUUCUAUUUAAAUUUAAAUAAAUUUUAUUAUAAGAACCCACUAAAAUUUAAAACUUCUUAUAAAAUAUUAAUUUUAUAAUAUCAAUACUUGAGUUGGCUAAAAAUUUCAGCAAUAAAUAAUUCAUGCUAAUAAUUUUUACUAAUUAAUAUUUCAUAAAAAUAAUAAAUCGGCAUAAAAUUUAUUUUUUUAAUAUUAUAAUAAAUAGAUAUAAAAAUAAAAGUAUUAGUAAUCAAUACUAUUUUAUAAAAAUAAUAUAAAAAAUGAAUUUUAAAGCCAUUUAAAUUUUUGAUAAUUUUAUAUUUUAAUGUUUAGGUUCACACAUUAAUUUAAUUUUUUUAAUUUAAAAUUUAUAUAACCGCCUUUAAUAUACACAAUGUCUACAAAUAGAAAGUAGGUUAAAAAAANNNNNNNNNNNNNNNNNNNNNNNNNNNNNNNNNNNNNNNNNNNNNNNNNNNNNNNNNNNNNNNNNNNNNNNNNNNNNNNNNNNNNNNNNNNNNNNNNNNNNNNNNNNNNNNNNNNNNNNNNNNNNNNNNNNNNNNNNNNNNNNNNNNNNNNNNNNNNNNNNNNNNNNNNNNNNNNNNNNNNNNNNNNNNNNNNNNNNNNNNNNNNNNNNNNNNNNNNNNNNNNNNNNNNNNNNNNNNNNNNNNNNNNNNNNNNNNNNNNNNNNNNNNNNNNNNNNNNNNNNNNNNNNNNNNNNNNNNNNNNNNNNNNNNNNNNNNNNNNNNNNNNNNNNNNNNNNNNNNNNNNNNNNNNNNNNNNNNNNNNNNNNNNNNNNNNNNNNNNNNNNNNNNNNNNNNNNNNNNNNNNNNNNNNNNNNNNNNNNNNNNNNNNNNNNNNNNNNNNNNNNNNNNNNNNNNNNNNNNNNNNNNNNNNNNNNNNNNNNNNNNNNNNNNNNNNNNNNNNNNNNNNNNNNNNNNNNNNNNNNNNNNNNNNNNNNNNNNNNNNNNNNNNNNNNNNNNNNNNNNNNNNNNNNNNNNNNNNNNNNNNNNNNNNNNNNNNNNNNNNNNNNNNNNNNNNNNNNNNNNNNNNNNNNNNNNNNNNNNNNNNNNNNNNNNNNNNNNNNNNNNNNNNNNNNNNNNNNNNNNNNNNNNNNNNNNNNNNNNNNNNNNNNNNNNNNNNNNNNNNNNNNNNNNNNNNNNNNNNNNNNNNNNNNNNNNNNNNNNNNNNNNNNNNNNNNNNNNNNNNNNNNNNNNNNNNNNNNNNNNNNNNNNNNNNNNNNNNNNNNNNNNNNNNNNNNNNNNNNNNNNNNNNNNNNNNNNNNNNNNNNNNNNNNNNNNNNNNNNNNNNNNNNNNNNNNNNNNNNNNNNNNNNNNNNNNNNNNNNNNNNNNNNNNNNNNNNNNNNNNNNNNNNNNNNNNNNNNNNNNNNNNNNNNNNNNNNNNNNNNNNNNNNNNNNNNNNNNNNNNNNNNNNNNNNNNNNNNNNNNNNNNNNNNNNNNNNNNNNNNNNNNNNNNNNNNNNNNNNNNNNNNNNNNNNNNNNNNNNNNNNNNNNNNNNNNNNNNNNNNNNNNNNNNNNNNNNNNNNNNNNNNNNNNNNNNNNNNNNNNNNNNNNNNNNNNNNNNNNNNNNNNNNNNNNNNNNNNNNNNNNNNNNNNNNNNNNNNNNNNNNNNNNNNNNNNNNAAUUCCUUAAUUGAUGGUCUUUGCAUUUCAGACCAAUUCAAGGAAGCUUUGGCCUUGUUGAAAGAAAUGGUGGGGAGGAACAUAUCCCCUGAUGUUUUUACCUUCAAUAUAUUGAUCGACACUCUUUGUAAGAAAGGACUGGUUUCAAAUGCAGAGAAUAUAAUCAAAAUAAUGAUUCAAAGAGGGAACCUACCGUUGUCACUUAUAGUUCAUUGAUGGAUGGAUAUUGUCUAGGCAGCCAAAUUGAUAAGGCUAGAAAGCUAUUUGAUCUGAUGGUGACCAAUGAAAUAGCUGACAUUUUUAGCUACAACAUUUUGAUCAAUGGAUAUUGUAAGUGCAAAAUGAUAGAUGAUGCAAGGCAGAUUUUUGAUGAAAUGUCUCAUAAAGGUUUAGUUCCUGAUGCUGUUACUUAUCAUACUCUUAUAAAGGCUAUGUUUCAAGCAGGGAGGCCCCAAACUGCAAAAGAGCUCUUUAAGGAUAUGUGCUCUCAUGGUCAACAGCCAAAUAUAGUAACCUUCUCAAUUAUGAUUGAUGGCUUGUGUAGACAGGGGAAUCUCGACGAGGCACUCACCCUAUUGAAAGCAAUGGAGAAAAGUCAGUUGAAGCCUAAUUUUGUAAUCUAUAGCAGUCUGAUCAAUGGUAUGUGCAAAGUUGGGAAGAUUAAUGAUGCCAGGGAACUUUUUUCUAGUCUUUUUGAAAUUGGUUUACAACCUGAUGUUUAUGUAUAUA